UUCUUGAUCAAAAAUAUAUGAGCAACACUUUAAAUAAGCGAUGGACAGUGUUGUUUAGUCCGUCACUUUUUGGUCAAAAUGUAGGUCAAACAAUUUUUAAAUAACCGUCGCUUUUGUUUAGUUAUGUUACAGCGGUGAUAGAUUUUCCCCUAAAUUUUCCCAUUCUCUUUCUCUCUUUUCUCUCUCUCCUCUACCUUCUCGACCCAUCACCGCACCAUCUGUUGCUGCCGCCACCACUGUCCAUUGUCGCUUCGCUACCAUUAUCCUCGCCCCGUCGCCAGCCAACCCAGCUGCCACCACGCCCAAAAUAACUCCCCAACUUCCCCUUCUUCUUGUUAUAAGGAUGUUAAGUAUUUAGGUCAAAGAGAACCAACAAGAAUUCCGCAUGCAGUGUUACACAAAUAUUGACGUUAUGAAUGUUCUAUCUUCAAAGCUUACUGAGUCACAUACAGACAUAUCUAUGGAAAUACAUGUUUUUCUCAACUAUGUAGCAUUCGUAGGUGUCACGUCCAGGCACAACUAAUUAAGUGCGUGUUUUUGAAAGAAAUUGAAGGUAGCUCAAAAGAUGCAAUCCUGAUACAUGUCAACGGCACUACUCUGCUAUUCACCAUUCGCAACUUUGCUUUAAUAACUGGGUUAAAAUGUUCAGAUAAUGAGAAUGAUUUUGUCUUUAAUACUGAAGAACCAAAUAUGAUUAUUUAUCAGUAUUUUGAAGUUGGAAAACCCGUCACCAAAGUCAAUUGAUUGACAAGUUUGAUAAAAAAAAAUUUAAUAGAUAAUGAUGAUGAUGCUGUUAAAUUUGCAA
Molecule: long non-coding RNA, 805 nt
Organism: Solanum lycopersicum (tomato)
Lineage: Eukaryota; Viridiplantae; Streptophyta; Magnoliopsida; Solanales; Solanaceae
Source: RefSeq, a predicted model, not a curated record